This is a long non-coding RNA of Brienomyrus brachyistius, 356 nucleotides long. RefSeq lists it as uncharacterized. The record is from RefSeq and is a predicted model, not a curated record. The transcript is spliced from 3 exons. NCBI's taxonomy places the organism in Eukaryota, Metazoa, Chordata, Actinopteri, Osteoglossiformes, Mormyridae.
AAAAAUAAGCCAAAAAAAUAAUAUCCGAAGAAGGAAAAACAUGCAAAGUAAAAAAAACAAACAAAAAUAAAAAACAAUAUCCAAAGAAGAAGGAAAAAAACAUCCAAAGGGAGAAAACAAGAACUGAAGGGCAAAUGAGGUAGGAGGAAAUACAAAUUUCGUUUCAGCACCGUUGGAGUGCCAAGCCGUGAAAAGCAUUUGGCCAGAAGACAAGGUGGUGUCCUUUUCAGCUUGGAGGAGGGAGCCUCCUUCUGGAACCAGAUGUUGACCUGGAGAAUCUUCUUCGCUUCCAUGAUCUCGACCUUCACCUUGAACUUCUUCAUGAGUAUCUACCACAACAAGCCGGGAGAUUUUAG